This 528-nucleotide long non-coding RNA is filed under the name Vigna radiata. RNAcentral's name for it is "long non-coding RNA (VRAD_LNC016468)". The record is from RNAcentral. Lineage: Eukaryota; Viridiplantae; Streptophyta; Magnoliopsida; Fabales; Fabaceae.
CCAAUACCUCUUCCAAACAGAACCCUUGCCAAAGAAAAAACCGGGACAACUUUGUGAGUCUCACCUGAGUUUUUCAUCAACCCAUACCACAAUAAACAGAAAAAAAAAAGCAAACAAAAAAUUGGGCGGCUUUGUGAGUCUCACACAAGUUUUUCAUCAAUCCAUAACUUCAAGACUAGGGGCAGCUUUGCAAAUCUCAUUUGAAAUUUUCUCACCCUAACUUUCAUGGAUCCAAACCCCAGCUCAUUUUCCAUAACAUCUGGGGCACCCUUUGUGUAUCUCGUGUUCACCUUGACAUUCUCAUAUCACAUCUCCUUUGAGGAUUAUGAGGAAUGACUUGUCCAUACAGUUAUCUCAUUCUCCUCUAAACCCUUCUAAACAUCUCUCAGUUCUCCACUUGCCAACAAAUUCAAGCAUGUGUGCACUGAUGUCUCGAAAAAAAAGAAGUCAAAAUGUAAUAAUCUCAAAUUUAGACAUCGGAUGCAUGACAUUCCUCAGUUUUCACAAAACAUUGAAAAUAAACACCAG